UGCAUUUUUCAUACCAAGUUACAAAAAAUAUUAAAUUAAUUUUGGAACCACUAAUUAAUUCAACAUACUGCAUUUAAUAACUAAAUGAAGUUAUGAACCACUUAUCCGGGUCCCAUACAGACUCAGACACUCAGUCGUCCCGCCACCUCCGCCCCUGUCAUAAAACGAGGCGGGUCCGGAUCCGGGUGGGGGAAGAUGAACAUUUUCUCUUAUCUUGAACUGCUCCGUCCACGUCUCGAUUUUCCUGUCUGAGCAAACCCGCCACGUACUCACCUAUUCAUCACUAAAAAAAUGAAUGAUAUUAAAAUCAUCUCUUACCAAUUACUCUAUUUGUCACAUCAAUCCCAAGUUAAAAUUAUUCAAAUUAAAACUAUAAACUCUAAUGGAUUUUGAGUCUAUAAACUCUAAUGGAUCGAUCAGCGGCGAAACUAGAAAGUUUACGAUUUUGAGUCUAUGAAUGGAUUUUAAUGGUCUCUAAAUUUGAAAAAAAGAUUUUGUAAAAAAUCUAUGAUAAUAACGACAAAUUAUGGACGAUUUAUAAAAACCGUUCAUAAUUUAUGUAUGGAUUUUUUUCGACCUUAAGAAAGGUUAAGUUACAUAAAUUAUGGUGAGACAUGCCUGAUUACGUCAGUCACUCCCAACAACGCCCUUCAAUAAGGACUAGGGUUCCUCCGUUUUAUGCCGGACCCCCGGAGAUCCACGGAUACGGGCAAGUGUCUACGUCAAGUAUUAAAGUCAACACUGGGAAUCGGCGACUGGGACUACCAAGUCGCCGACUCCAAAGGUGAACCGCCGAUUCUAGGCCUCGUUGGUCAGUUCUGGUAGACUGCCAACCUGGCUCAUGGGGAAUCGAUGGCUUCACCCUGAGUCGCCGACUCCCAGCCGUUACUUGACUUGGCCCACGCCAUUAUGACACCUUUAACAGGGCACCAUAAUAGUGUGGGUCCCACGGGUAAUGAAUGAGAAACAUCCCAAAAGACCCUAUAAAAGGGGUCCUUGGGGGGUCUUCUCAUUCAUCAAGUAAUCCCUCCAUUCACUUGACUCCACACUCCAACCAGAGAACCAAGGAGCCCGAGUCGUCGACUCCCACACCUGAGACGCCGACUCCCCUUCACUUCUGCAGGUAUUUGACGUAGAGCGCGCGUCGUGGACUCCAAAGCCUUCGGUCCUCCUCGCGACCCCGCAAGCCUACUGGUAGCAGAUUUCGUGCUUCAUCAAAAUGUUUAGCUGAACUAGUUACAUUUUCAUUACAUGUGGAUCUUUAGAAUUAACCAUAAAGAUCCAUAGUUGGAAUCUCGU
This 1299-nucleotide long non-coding RNA is filed under the name Zostera marina. RNAcentral's name for it is "long non-coding RNA (ZMAR_LNC002108)". Lineage: Eukaryota; Viridiplantae; Streptophyta; Magnoliopsida; Alismatales; Zosteraceae. The record is from RNAcentral.